GCAUAACGCGAAGAACCUUACCUGGUCUUGACAUAGUAAGAACUUUCCAGAGAUGGAUUGGUGCCUUCGGGAACUUACAUACAGGUGCUGCAUGGCCGUCGUCAGCUCGUGUCGUGAGAUGUUGGGUUAAGUCCCGCAACGAGCGCUAACCCUUUCCUUAUUUGCCAGCGGGUUAAGCCGGGUAACUUUAAGGAUACUGCCAGUGACAAACUGGAGGAAGGCGGGGACGACGUCAAGUCAUCAUGGCCCUUACGACCAGGGCUACACACGUGCUACAAUGGUCGGUACAAAGGGUUGCUACCUAGCGAUAGGAUGCUAAUCUCAAAAAGCCGAUCGUAGUCCGGAUUGGAGUCUGCAACUCGACUCCAUGAAGUCGGAAUCGCUAGUAAUCGCGGAUCAGAAUGCCGCGGUGAAUACGUUCCCGGGUCUUGUACACACCG
RNAcentral lists this ribosomal RNA (440 nucleotides) under uncultured bacterium. Its description in RNAcentral is "bacterial SSU rRNA". It matches the Rfam family "Bacterial small subunit ribosomal RNA", at positions 954 to 1392 of the family's 1533-position model. The record is from RNAcentral.